UUCAUGCCACAGUGUCAAAUACCCAAGUUGGUUCCGGGUAGUGAAUAAUGUGAUUGUCUUCAGAAGAAAGAGUCCCUGCUCCUGCAGCUAACUCCUCUCCUACAACAAAUUUUCCCGGGGACCAAAAAGAAAAGACAUUGACAUCAUUUCCGACUUACAAACUCCAUGCAAUGCAGCGGAGUUAAGAUACGAUAUGUCCAAUUACAACAUGGAUUUCCAGUUGGAUGAUGAUGCCCUCCC
Molecule: long non-coding RNA, 240 nt
Organism: Rosa chinensis
Lineage: Eukaryota; Viridiplantae; Streptophyta; Magnoliopsida; Rosales; Rosaceae
Exons: 3
Source: RefSeq, a predicted model, not a curated record